GGUCCUAUGGAGGAGGCUGCAGAGACACUGCUCUCCUCGUUUGGAUUAAUUCUGAUAUAAUAACUGUUGGUUUAUUUAUCGUUGCAGCAGCAGAACAUUUUCCACAGACAGUUUUCCUGCCCGCUGGCUUGUUUUAACCAGUUUUCUACCUUCGGCUGAUUCUACCAGCAGACACUGAAAGGACUCUGAUAGUUCGAGUGAAAGUAGCAGUUCCUCCUUAAGGUCAGACAUUGCAGCAUCUGAGGUUCUCUUCAAAAGAAGACAUAGUUGAUGAAGGCAUUCUGGAGCACGACCAGAAAGACCACGACCAAGCAGCCUUGAGAUCUUAGGCAGCGUCUCCCUCAGGUCCCUCUCUAUCUCCCCACACAUCCACCAACCACUGGAACACAUCUCCAAAGUUCUGCCAGGCCAGCUCAGCUUCCCCUCAGAAGAAGUGCUGCCACCUGCCAGAUGAAGGAGCCUUUCGAGAGGCAGCCGGCAUCGUGAUUGGACUGUACUUUGGUCUGUUCCAAUCCAGCUUCAGCUCCAGAGACGGCAGGCGGGACAAGUCAACGGAGGCCGGGUGGACGAAGGCAUGCAGCUGAGUACAAUCCAGAAAACAAUAGAGGAGGAGUGCAGCAGCCCAGGGCCAGAACAACCAGAGUAGCAUCG
Molecule: long non-coding RNA, 651 nt
Organism: Amphiprion ocellaris (clown anemonefish)
Lineage: Eukaryota; Metazoa; Chordata; Actinopteri; Pomacentridae
Source: Ensembl